GCCCGGGUGGCGGAAUUUGGUAGACGCGACGGACUCAAAAUCCGUUGUCCGUUGAGGACGUGUGGGUUCGAGUCCCACCCUGGGUA
This 86-nucleotide transfer RNA is filed under the name Bacteroidota bacterium. RNAcentral describes it as "tRNA-Leu". It matches the Rfam family "tRNA". From Rfam's summary of the family: Transfer RNA (tRNA) molecules are approximately 80 nucleotides in length. Their secondary structure includes four short double-helical elements and three loops (D, anti-codon, and T loops). Lineage: Bacteria; Pseudomonadati; Bacteroidota. The record is from RNAcentral.